RNAcentral lists this ribosomal RNA (433 nucleotides) under uncultured bacterium. RNAcentral describes it as "partial 16S ribosomal RNA". It matches the Rfam family "Bacterial small subunit ribosomal RNA", at positions 29 to 507 of the family's 1533-position model. The record is from RNAcentral.
AGCGAACGCUGGCGGCAGGCUUAACACAUGCAAGUCGAGCGGGCCUUUCGGGGUCAGCGGCGGACGGGUGAGUAACGCGUGGGAACGUGCCCUCUGGUUCGGAAUAACUCAGGGAAACAUGAGCUAAUACCGGAUACGCCCUUUUGGGGAAAGGCUUGCUGCCGGAGGAUCGGCCCGCGUCUGAUUAGCUAGUUGGUGAGGUAACGGCUCACCAAGGCGACGAUCAGUAGCUGGUCUGAGGGGAUGAUCAGCCACACUGGGACUGAGACACGGCCCAGACUCCUACGGGAGGCAGCAGUGGGGAAUAUUGGACAAUGGGCGCAAGCCUGAUCCAGCCAUGCCGCGUGAGUGAUGAAGGCCUUAGGGUUGUAAAGCUCUUUUAUCCGGGACGAUAAUGACGGUACCGGAGGAAUAAGCCCCGGCUAACUUCGUG